GGGUUGUGAGGUUAAGCGACUAAGCGUACACGGUGGAUGCCCUGGCAGUCAGAGGCGAUGAAGGACGUGCUAAUCUGCGAUAAGCGUCGGUAAGGUGAUAUGAACCGUUAUAACCGGCGAUUUCCGAAUGGGGAAACCCAGUGUGUUUCGACACACUAUCAUUAACUGAAUCCAUAGGUUAAUGAGGCGAACCGGGGGAACUGAAACAUCUAAGUACCCCGAGGAAAAGAAAUCAACCGAGAUUCCCCCAGUAGCGGCGAGCGAACGGGGAGCAGCCCAGAGCCUGAAUCAGUGUGUGUGUUAGUGGAAGCGUCUGGAAAGGCGCGCGAUACAGGGUGACAGCCCCGUACACAAAAAUGCACAUGCUGUGAGCUCGAUGAGUAGGGCGGGACACGUGGUAUCCUGUCUGAAUAUGGGGGGACCAUCCUCCAAGGCUAAAUACUCCUGACUGACCGAUAGUGAACCAGUACCGUGAGGGAAAGGCGAAAAGAACCCCGGCGAGGGGAGUGAAAAAGAACCUGAAACCGUGUACGUACAAGCAGUGGGAGCACGCUUAGGCGUGUGACUGCGUACCUUUUGUAUAAUGGGUCAGCGACUUAUAUUCUGUAGCAAGGUUAACCGAAUAGGGGAGCCGAAGGGAAACCGAGUCUUAACUGGGCGUUAAGUUGCAGGGUAUAGACCCGAAACCCGGUGAUCUAGCCAUGGGCAGGUUGAAGGUUGGGUAACACUAACUGGAGGACCGAACCGACUAAUGUUGAAAAAUUAGCGGAUGACUUGUGGCUGGGGGUGAAAGGCCAAUCAAACCGGGAGAUAGCUGGUUCUCCCCGAAAGCUAUUUAGGUAGCGCCUCGUGAAUUCAUCUCCGGGGGUAGAGCACUGUUUCGGCAAGGGGGUCAUCCCGACUUACCAACCCGAUGCAAACUGCGAAUACCGGAGAAUGUUAUCACGGGAGACACACGGCGGGUGCUAACGUCCGUCGUGAAGAGGGAAACAACCCAGACCGCCAGCUAAGGUCCCAAAGUCAUGGUUAAGUGGGAAACGAUGUGGGAAGGCCCAGACAGCCAGGAUGUUGGCUUAGAAGCAGCCAUCAUUUAAAGAAAGCGUAAUAGCUCACUGGUCGAGUCGGCCUGCGCGGAAGAUGUAACGGGGCUAAACCAUGCACCGAAGCUGCGGCAGCGACGCUUAUGCGUUGUUGGGUAGGGGAGCGUUCUGUAAGCCUGCGAAGGUGUGCUGUGAGGCAUGCUGGAGGUAUCAGAAGUGCGAAUGCUGACAUAAGUAACGAUAAAGCGGGUGAAAAGCCCGCUCGCCGGAAGACCAAGGGUUCCUGUCCAACGUUAAUCGGGGCAGGGUGAGUCGACCCCUAAGGCGAGGCCGAAAGGCGUAGUCGAUGGGAAACAGGUUAAUAUUCCUGUACUUGGUGUUACUGCGAAGGGGGGACGGAGAAGGCUAUGUUGGCCGGGCGACGGUUGUCCCGGUUUAAGCGUGUAGGCUGGUUUUCCAGGCAAAUCCGGAAAAUCAAGGCUGAGGCGUGAUGACGAGGUACUACGGUGCUGAAGCAACAAAUGCCCUGCUUCCAGGAAAAGCCUCUAAGCAUCAGGUAACAUCAAAUCGUACCCCAAACCGACACAGGUGGUCAGGUAGAGAAUACCAAGGCGCUUGAGAGAACUCGGGUGAAGGAACUAGGCAAAAUGGUGCCGUAACUUCGGGAGAAGGCACGCUGAUAUGUAGGUGAAGUCCCUCGCGGAUGGAGCUGAAAUCAGUCGAAGAUACCAGCUGGCUGCAACUGUUUAUUAAAAACACAGCACUGUGCAAACACGAAAGUGGACGUAUACGGUGUGACGCCUGCCCGGUGCCGGAAGGUUAAUUGAUGGGGUCAGCGCAAGCGAAGCUCUUGAUCGAAGCCCCGGUAAACGGCGGCCGUAACUAUAACGGUCCUAAGGUAGCGAAAUUCCUUGUCGGGUAAGUUCCGACCUGCACGAAUGGCGUAAUGAUGGCCAGGCUGUCUCCACCCGAGACUCAGUGAAAUUGAACUCGCUGUGAAGAUGCAGUGUACCCGCGGCAAGACGGAAAGACCCCGUGAACCUUUACUAUAGCUUGACACUGAACAUUGAGCCUUGAUGUGUAGGAUAGGUGGGAGGCUUUGAAGUGUGGACGCCAGUCUGCAUGGAGCCGACCUUGAAAUACCACCCUUUAAUGUUUGAUGUUCUAACGUUGACCCGUGAUCCGGGUUGCGGACAGUGUCUGGUGGGUAGUUUGACUGGGGCGGUCUCCUCCUAAAGAGUAACGGAGGAGCACGAAGGUUGGCUAAUCCUGGUCGGACAUCAGGAGGUUAGUGCAAUGGCAUAAGCCAGCUUGACUGCGAGCGUGACGGCGCGAGCAGGUGCGAAAGCAGGUCAUAGUGAUCCGGUGGUUCUGAAUGGAAGGGCCAUCGCUCAACGGAUAAAAGGUACUCCGGGGAUAACAGGCUGAUACCGCCCAAGAGUUCAUAUCGACGGCGGUGUUUGGCACCUCGAUGUCGGCUCAUCACAUCCUGGGGCUGAAGUAGGUCCCAAGGGUAUGGCUGUUCGCCAUUUAAAGUGGUACGCGAGCUGGGUUUAGAACGUCGUGAGACAGUUCGGUCCCUAUCUGCCGUGGGCGCUGGAGAAUUGAGGGGGGCUGCUCCUAGUACGAGAGGACCGGAGUGGACGCAUCACUGGUGUUCGGGUUGUCAUGCCAAUGGCACUGCCCGGUAGCUAAAUGCGGAAGAGAUAAGUGCUGAAAGCAUCUAAGCACGAAACUUGCCCCGAGAUGAGUUCUCCCUGACUCCUUGAGAGUCCUGAAGGAACGUUGAAGACGACGACGUUGAUAGGCCGGGUGUGUAAGCGCAGCGAUGCGUUGAGCUAACCGGUACUAAUGAACCGUGAGGCUUAACCUUACAACGCCGAAGCUGUU
Molecule: ribosomal RNA, 2930 nt
Filed under: Escherichia coli
Lineage: Bacteria; Pseudomonadati; Pseudomonadota; Gammaproteobacteria; Enterobacterales; Enterobacteriaceae
Description: bacterial LSU rRNA
Rfam family: Bacterial large subunit ribosomal RNA
Source: RNAcentral